GGGGCUGACUAUAGCUUUCGACGAUUGGACAUUAACAGAUUACUCAGCAAGUCGAAUUACACCGUAAGUGUUAUUUUAAUUGCAAACUUUGUUGCAAAAGCAAAGUCAGCUGUUGCUACGUUCGCUAACGCGUUUCGUGCACCUGUCUUUGCGCCAGCUUUAGUUUAAUUACUAAAGCCACUUUCUAGUAUAGGCAACAUAUUACUAGCUAAGUGUCAUACUUAUGUUGCUGGUUUUGUUUAGUGCAAUGGCUUUACAAAAUAAGAUUUCACCAACGCAACUUUAUUUGUAUUUUUGUUAUUUCUAAAGCAAAUAAAAGUUGUAAAACAAUUAGAAACAACUAAGCUUGUAGACGAGUAGUCAGUUACCAGUCGGACCCGGGCGCAAUUCCCGGCAGCUCCACCA
Molecule: transfer-messenger RNA, 405 nt
Filed under: Candidatus Saccharibacteria bacterium RIFCSPHIGHO2_12_FULL_42_8
Lineage: Bacteria; Candidatus Saccharimonadota
Rfam family: transfer-messenger RNA
About the family: Bacterial tmRNA, also known as 10Sa RNA or SsrA, is named for its dual tRNA and mRNA-like properties.
Source: RNAcentral